RNAcentral lists this ribosomal RNA (440 nucleotides) under uncultured Lachnospiraceae bacterium. Its description in RNAcentral is "bacterial SSU rRNA". It matches the Rfam family "Bacterial small subunit ribosomal RNA", at positions 338 to 795 of the family's 1533-position model. Lineage: Bacteria; Bacillati; Bacillota; Clostridia; Lachnospirales; Lachnospiraceae. The record is from RNAcentral.
CCUACGGGGGGCUGCAGUGGGGAAUAUUGCACAAUGGGCGAAAGCCUGAUGCAGCGACGCCGCGUGAGUGAUGAAGUAUUUCGGUAUGUAAAGCUCUAUCAGCAGGGAAGAUAAUGACGGUACCUGACUAAGAAGCUCCGGCUAAAUACGUGCCAGCAGCCGCGGUAAUACGUAUGGAGCAAGCGUUAUCCGGAUUUACUGGGUGUAAAGGGAGUGUAGGCGGUCUAGAAAGUCUGAUGUGAAAACCCGGGGCUCAACCGCGGGAUUGCAUUGGAAACUUUUAGACUAGAGUAUCGGAGAGGCAAGCGGAAUUCCUGGUGUAGAGGUGAAAUUCGUAGAUAUCAGGAAGAACAUCGGUGGCGAAGGCGGCUUGCUGGACGACAACUGACGCUGAGGCUCGAAAGCGUGGGAAGCGAACAGGAUUAGAUACCCCAGUAGUC